UCAAAGAUGACAGUAUCAAGAUAGAAAAAGGAUUCUAUGUCCCUUUUAUUUUCCAACGACCGUCGUCGCCGUAAUAAUGGUCUGUCAGCUCCACCGCCGCUUCCGUCAAUCUCCCAAGCCUCAUCCCUGAAAUUGAAUUCUUCUCCCCAUCCCAUCUCAUUCCACCCCGACUCGUCUAUCUAAGUCAUGGAUUCGUUAUAUUUAACCCCUGUAUGAUACGUUACGCCAUGGAUUCGAAUUAGGUCAGCUGAAUCCACAAAUUACCGAUUCAGGAAGCUACCUACCUCGAUGAAGAAUAAGCACUGUUAGUAAUCAUCGACUCAUUCUUACGCUUCAGACAGUAGUUUAAGUUGAUGAAGCGCAAAGUGGUAGGACCGCUCCUCUCACUAUUCUCAGUUUUCGUCAUCGCCGUCGCCAAAUCAUCACAGCCGUGGGAAUCGAUCGCGAUCUGGAAGACCUUGGAAGAUGGCACAUCCCGGAUCGACAAGCACA
Molecule: long non-coding RNA, 492 nt
Filed under: Linum usitatissimum (flax)
Lineage: Eukaryota; Viridiplantae; Streptophyta; Magnoliopsida; Malpighiales; Linaceae
Description: long non-coding RNA (LUSI_LNC005482)
Source: RNAcentral